ACCACAGCAGCACCAUCAUGGUUACAUAAACCACCAGGACUAGUCUAACAGCUACCAAACACAGCUCAAACAUGAUUUAUUCUGUUACAUAACCACAUAGAUUGGUCAAAUUUGAUGUAAUUUCGUAAAUCUGGAUCUGGAUUCAGAUGUUCGGGACUGCGUUCACAGAUGCAUUGCUAAACCAGAGUCCACUGACACCGGCCCUCAUUGAGGAAAUUAUUUUCCCGCUCCGUGCAGAAGAAUGGAGGAGGAGUGAAGGGCUUGUGUUUUACAGCUCUCAGGUUGCGUGUUUAUGAGUAUGCAGUUGUUCCCGGGGCAGGUCUGGGCCAUACCUGUCAAGUAUCCCGUUUUGGCCGGGAAAGUCACGUAUUUUACCGUUCUUUCCCGCCGUCCUCCCGUAUUAGUAUUUUCCCGUAAAUCUCCCGUAUUUUUAUUUAUUUAUUUUUUUUACUUGCGUUAUUAAUAAAAUAAUAAUAAUAAAAACAUUCCCAAUCUGAGCUCUGUCACUAGUCUCGCGAUAACUCCCACCUGUAGUAGCCUAGAGACGGAUAAUGGAUGCUACGAUAGAGAGUGAAGGCACACCUGCCAAAAAACCAAAACCCAUGUGUAAAUACCGUGAUAAAUGGGACAGCGAUUUUACUUUUUUAAAGAAUGCAAAGUCUGCAACAAAUUGGUACAACAACUCACUAAAAGAGUAAAAGAAAAGUUGUGAAAUGAAAAGAAAAACUGUAAAAGAAAAGCAAUAUGAAAUGAAAAGAAUGUGUGGAAUUAAAAUAAAAUGUAAAUGUAAAAACAAGCAAUGUUAAAUUAACAGAAAAUAUGCAAAUAAGCCUUUAAAUAAAUGCUCUUCAUAUAUACCCUUUUGUGUUUUCAUUUGGGCUAUAACACCUGUCUUAAAAUGUAAGGGAUACUGGAGCUUUGUUGGGGUGGUGGGACUGCUCACAAUGGGCGCUGGAAAAUUUCCCUUAUUUUCAAAUCCAAAAUUGACAGGUAUGGUCUGGGCAUGUUCUCCUGGGAAUGUGGGAAACAACCUGUUAGACGAUACAGGUGACCUAUAUGUCAUUCAUGCAACAACUGUAAUCUGACCUUAAUAAUGACUGUUUCCAAACAGGUUUCCCAGACAAUCCUCCGAUCUGCCACACAUGAAAAGUCACCUACAUUGCUAUGCUAAUUAUGGGGUACUUAAAAGUAUUAAGGAUUAGUGAAUAUACAAACAUUAAAACAUACUAUUAUUAUCAUUUUUUUCUUUUUUUUUUACUGUUUUGCUGAUAAUUAGUUAAUGAAUGUCCACCUUAUUUUUCAACACAGAAGUAAGUUUUUUUUUUCUGUGAAUGCAUGUACUAAAAAAUGUGCUACAAAACAGUGUUAUGAUGACAAUUCCAGCAUAAAACCAGCUGAGACCUUAGCAGACGAGAAGUGCGGUGGUGGAGAAAGCAGCAGCUAAGGCAACUGACGACCAGACCAGUGACGGGAAGCUGAUGCCGUAGCAGACGAUAAGUCCAACUGUGGAAGAUGCAGCUGAUACUUUAAACAGAUAACCACCCAAAGAUAGAAGCAACUUUGGCUGUAGCCGAUGACAGUCGGUUGGUUCAACAAACUGAAGCUGUAGCUACUAAGGCUGCAGCAGAUGAUAAACUGAUAGUUUCUGCCAUCUUGGAUCAUACCAAAACAUGCAUAACAGCUUUUCAAAACCAUAAAAAAAUGUAUUUUUGAAAUUAUAAUACAUGAAAUGCAAUAAAUAUAAUUAUAAUAUAUAAUCAAAUACCAUUAAAUAUGAAAUGCCUGAAUAA
Carassius gibelio (silver crucian carp) is the source of this 1790-nucleotide long non-coding RNA. RefSeq lists it as uncharacterized. Lineage: Eukaryota; Metazoa; Chordata; Actinopteri; Cypriniformes; Cyprinidae. The transcript is spliced from 2 exons. The record is from RefSeq and is a predicted model, not a curated record.